UUCUUCCGUGAUCCCCAAUAAAUACCGCAAUAAACUGAAAGGCAAGGGAUACAACAAUAUAGUUAGUGCACAUGGUUAUAAUACAAAGAAUAAAAACCAAUUAGAAUUGCAUUUCCUUAAAGUUUUUUGCUAAACUACUGACUUCUAAUUUCAGGCUCAGAGAUUUUGAUUCCACACAUUGAGGUUGUGUUUUGUAUUUUUUGGAUAGGGGUUUGGUGGGGUGGGGUGGGGUGGGGGAAUAAAGAGAAAAGUGUUUAAAUAUUCCUUGUUUCGAGCACACCAAGCAGAUAAAAAGCUCAAAUCAAAGAAGAAGUGCAUUAAAAAGGCAGCCAGAGAAGCUAGCAGUCAACCCUACAAAACACACACACACACAAUGGAGGAAGCUAUUGUCAGAAGUUCUAAGUGCUCUGACAGGGCCAAGGUUAUGGUUGCAUCUCUCAUCUCACUAAAAAAAUUCCAAAGAGUGAAUUAUUAACAGUAUGUGUCACCCAGACAUGUGUUCUCUAGAGAAAACUUUGAAGACUAAACGAUGAAACAAAGGUUUUUGAGUGUCCAGAAAAUUGACGAGUCAAAAAUGGUUCUAAAACAUGCUCUCCACAUACCUACUAUAACCUUUGGCAUCUGCCAGCUGGUAUGAAUCCACGUCUCCAAUUGUUCCAAUAAUUGCUUUAGCAAGAGUAUCAUCGUCCAUUUCUAAUUCACGUAGAAAAGCACCAGACCCAUCAUAUACAUCAAGUGUCUUCAAAAGGUUGGGAUCACGAUACGAUAAGAAGGAGAACACUCCUACAAAAAAUCAUAAAUUGAAUUCCAAUGGUUAGAUUUAUAUUUUGUAGCUGUUAGAACUCCUUUCCAGUUCCAAACACUGUAAUUGGAAUUCCAUGCCGGGCACUACAUCUCAUUAUUG
RNAcentral lists this long non-coding RNA (904 nucleotides) under Populus trichocarpa (black cottonwood). RNAcentral describes it as "long non-coding RNA (PTRI_LNC001258)". Lineage: Eukaryota; Viridiplantae; Streptophyta; Magnoliopsida; Malpighiales; Salicaceae. The record is from RNAcentral.